Molecule: ribosomal RNA, 274 nt
Filed under: uncultured bacterium
Lineage: Bacteria
Description: partial 16S ribosomal RNA
Rfam family: Archaeal small subunit ribosomal RNA
Source: RNAcentral
AAACCAGCACCUCAAGUGGUCAGGAUGAUUAUUGGGCCUAAAGCAUCCGUAGCCGGCUCUGUAAGUUUUCGGUUAAAUCUGUACGCUUAACGUACAGGCUGCCGGGAAUACUGCAGAGCUAGGGAGUAGGAGAGGUAGACGGUACUCGGGAGGAAGUGGUAAAAUGCUUUGAUCUCUCGAUGACCACCUGUGGCGAAGGCGGUCUACCAGAACACGUCCGACGGUGAGGGAUGAAAGCUGGGGGAGCAAACCGGAUUAGAAACCCGAGUAGUCC